AAAAUAUUUACACUAUUAUGAGUAAAACAUUCUCUGUUCAUACUAAAAUCUUUACCAAAUUUCUCCUUGUUUUAAGAAACAGAGGGAGGAUUAUAUAUAUAAAUUUUAGAAAUUUAAAAAUAGUUAAAACAUGAACUGUAUAUGUGUGAAGAGAUUGAGAGAAUUAGAUAUUAUCUCCGUAAAGAUCAUUAUGAAACUAUAACAUAAAAUAAGCUACUAAAUGUACUAUAAAUUCAACCAAUCUAAGGCAACAUACCAGAGACCUUUGGAACAGGUACAUAAACACUAAUUUGAGCCACCUUAUAAAUAAAAUGUAGCAAAAUCCUUUAAGGAUUUUAUAAAACACAACUUUUAACUAAACUAAACUCCAAUUUUUUUCAAAUAUGAAACAAGAAUUGCCAAAAUAGCUUAAUAAAGUUGAAUCCAACACAGCUAGAAAUGUACUGCUCAUUGAACUUAACUGAAAAUAAGUUUUAGUUUUAUAUGAAAUUAAUCAGUGCCAGAAAAUCUCAUACAGGUUUUUCUUGUUACUAACAGAAAAUUUCCAUGGGUCAUCAGGAAAUUAAGAAAGCUGAAUGACUUCCUGAUGUGUUUCUCUGUCAUGUCAAUAUUAGCAAAUAAACGAAUUAGGAAAAUGACAUCAAUAAUUUACAAUAAAAAUUUUCACCUAAAUGUACAUUACAACAAAAACAUUUCUGCCUUAAUUAUCUACAUGAUUAUUUCCCAAAGUAUGUUCUAAGGGGCACAAGGCCCACAAGAUACAUUUCUAAAAACAGGUUCCACAGUCAAAUAAAUCUGGGAAAUCCCAUACACUAACUCCCCAUUUCAGAGAUAAGCAGUCCCAUUAGCUUUGUUGGAGCCUGUUUAACUUUAAUCCGUAUUUCCCAAGUUUACCUUGAUCUUGAAACACUUUUUUUCAUAAUUCAUAAGACAAGCUAAUAUUCUGGGGAACAUGUAUUCCAAAGAACAUACUUUGGAAAAUUCUAAUCUACAAAAUUGUUAUAUGUUCUUCCUUCACUAGUGGCCUAAACUGAUUGUAAAGAAUAAUUUCCCAAUUAAAAAAACACUGUUCUCAGCCAGGCGUGGUGGCUAAUGCCUGCAAUCCCAGGACUUUGGGAGGCCGAGGCAGUGCAAUUGCUCGAGCUCAGGAGCUCAAGACCUCAAGACCAGACUCAGCAACAUGGUGAAACCCCAUCUCUACCAAAAAACAAAAUCAAAAAGUAUCCAGUUGCGGUAGUGUGCUCCUGUAGUCCCAACUAUUCAGGAGGCUGAGGUGAGGGAUCACUUGAGCCCAGGAGGUGGAGGCUGCAGUGAGCCAAGAUCACGCCACUGUACUACAGCCUGGGCAACAGAGCCAGACCCUGUCUCAAAAAAAAAAACCACACACACACACAUACACACACACACACACACACACACACACAAUCCCCACCACUGUUCUCAUUCAACUGUUACCAGGACUGAUAAAAGAACAUAAUCCAUCAACAAAGACAUUUACCAUUGAAUCGAUGACUUCUUUCAACUAUAGCUCUAACACAAUUUCCCAAAGUGUGUUCCAUUAAUAAGCACAGCACAAAAAAAUAGGACCCCACGGUCUAGUGCAGUAAAACUGUAGACUGUGACUCAUUCAUGAGUCAAAAAAUCAAUGUAAUGGGUCUUGACCAGAAUUUUUUUUUUAAUGAAAGGCUAGACUAGUAAAAAAUAAAAUAAAAAACAUAAGUGUACACUGCUUAUGGUAAAGGUAAGUAUUGACUCAUGUGUAAGUAUUUACUCAUAUGGUAAAGCUAAGCAUUGACUAAUGUCGGCUGUAAUCAGAGAAGUUUAAGAAUGCUGUGAGUUCAAAAAAAGUUAGGUUAAACAAGUUCCUUCACUGCAGGACAUUUUAGAGUCCUUAAAUGAAUUCCAAGAGUAUUUUUGGCCACAGAAACCUUUUUUUAUUGAAGCAUCUCACAGGACUAGUGCUCCCUGGAACACAAUUUAGGAAAUACUGUCUUUUGGAAACGGUGUACCUCCAACUGUCUUGAGGUACACUAUAUAAAUAACAGUGCCCAAUUUUCACCUCCUUCAGAAAACUCAGUCAGAUUUCUCAUCUUAACUAUAGCAUCCUUCACAAUUUGAUCAAACUUGCAAUAACUUUAAUUUGGUUAGCAUGAAGUAGUGGUUAAGCAUCUGGGUUUCAAUUCUAGCUCCACCACUUGUCGGCUGUGUAAUCAGCCUUGCAUUGUUAUUUAAUCUCUUUCCCAUGGUUUUCCCAUGAAGUGUAAGGAGAAUACUGGGAAUACCUACGGUACAGGGUUUGGGGUUUGUUUUUUUAGGAUUAAAUGAGAUAACUUCCAGCCCCUGGCGUGUAAUAAGCAUUCCACAUAUGAUAUCUAUUACUAUUAGAAUAACACUAUCACCGCACCUGUACAGUUAUUACGGGAUACACGGCCAGAGCGAAAGAAACUAAAAACCCUAUGCUGCCGCCUGGUGGACACUCGGAAUUUAAAAAUCUGUCAUUCGCUUCCUUCCUGACACUACGAUAUGAAGCCGUAUGGAAAUUAAAACGUUUUCUCAAGCUGCAUUAACACACUUUAUAAAUCAUCAAAGUGGGGAAUCUAAUUUUCCAAAACUUAACAACUACCCCCAAGGCAACCCUGAAACCAGGGAGAGUUGUAAAGACUCAAAUUGGCCGAAGAAAUGGCUGAGAGAAGACACCAGUGAAGGACUACAGAGGAAACUCCAUCCACAGCGUAUUUGCUGAUUCUCAGGUUGGGAUAUUUCAGUAUAGAUUUUUUCUUCAAGGUAUAAAACAAAGAGAGCCAUAGGAAUUUAUCACAACUAAAGCAAAAUAACCAAUAAUCAUCAAUUCGAGGAUCUCAAUAUAAGCAGAAGACUCCGUGGAAUCUUCACAUUUUCUUUCUAAAAGAAGUGCACUGAUCAUAAAGGUUCCCAUAAAUGACUUAAGGGUUGUCACUUAUUUUCAGCAGCAAAGUGAAGUGGAAGAUUGCAGCAAUGACAUGAAUAAUUUAUUUUAUUUUAUUUUAUUUUUUUAGACAGAGUCUCGCUCUGUUGCCCAGGCUGGAGUGCAGUGGAGUGAUCUAGGCUCACUGCAACCUCCGCCUCCCGGGUUCAAGGAUUUCUCCUGCCUCAGCCUCCUGAGUAGCUGCAUUACAGGCACCUGCCAGCACGCCUUGCAAAUUUUUGUAUUUUUAGUGGAGAUGGGGUUUUGCCAUGUUGGCCAGGCUGGUCUCAAACUCCUGACCUCAGGUGAUCCGCCCGCCUCAGCCUCCCAAAGGGCUGGGAUUACAGGCGUGAGCCACUGUGCCUGGCCCCAAGUUUUGCAUCUUUUAAUGCCCUCUGAACAAAUACAUAGAGAAAACUCUCAGAACAAUUAAAACCUGCAGAGCAACAGUGUCCUCCAUGUCUUAGGUUUCAAGUUUGCCUCUAAAAUUCUAAUCCAUAUUUUUCUACUUCUCAGAUAAUUUAUGUGUGUGUACUCUUCCUAGACGUACAAGAGACUUUUUAAUGCUAAAUAUUUGUCAGUGCUUAACAAAAACUCAAUUUCACAUUACUCAUAUUGUUUUUGUUUUAAUUGAAUGUGAAUUAAAUUUUUAUUAGUUAUUUGAUUUGGAAUGUUAUGUAUGCCAUUAACACUAUUAGGGGAAUCUCUAGCAUUUCUGUAUUUUUAAAGAAUUUGAUUCUUUUGUAGAUUCUGCCUGUGUGGUCAUUUUAAAACAUGUGUGACAUAUAUCAGUACCUUCAUUCUUCUAUAUUUUGUGUCUCCUCCAACCUCCAACUUUUUUUGUUUUUUGAAAAAUGUUUCUCUAACACCUCAACAGUUUAAGGUAAUUUAGUACACAUAUAUCAGUAUUUUUGUGAUCUGAAAAAGCAACCCAUUUUCUAAAUUCAUAUUUUUCCUAAAACUUUACUAUGUUUUUAUUUUAAGAGGUUUCCUGUUAUAUACACUUUUUACACAUGCAAAUAAACUUUAUACCAAGUGAGUA
This 3986-nucleotide long non-coding RNA is filed under the name Homo sapiens (human). Its description in RNAcentral is "HSALNT0362183". Lineage: Eukaryota; Metazoa; Chordata; Mammalia; Primates; Hominidae. The record is from RNAcentral.